AGUUCAUCCCACACUACGUUAUCAACAAAGCUCGAUGAAGCCAUACUAUCGCAGUGGAACGACCUGCUAUUUGUAGCGACUAUUAAGUGUUUACACUGCUUAAAGUCUUUUUAAGGCAAUAUGCCAGGUCCCCAUUGUUCAGUGCGGGACUGCCACAACGGUACCCGUGGGCUAAAGACAUGGACGGAAGAGUUUUGCCCUAUUCACGAGGGCAAUAAAGGAACCUCGCGCUGUAUAUGUGACCCGCCUUAUUUACUCGUCACAUUUCCUACUGAAAGAAAAGAUCCAGAACGUCGUGCCGAAUGGAUUAAAUUAGUUUCCCAGAGACUAUGGGUUGAGGAGGAAGUGGAAGUUUGUCAGCUUAGACCUGGUGUCAUUCCAUCAGUGUUUAACUUCCCGGCUCAUCUUGGAAGAGUAUGUGCCAGAAAGACCACAAACAAGCAGCCUUGAGAUGUUAGACAGCGUCUCCCUGAGGUCCCUCUCUAUCUCCCCACAUAUCCACCAACCACUGGAACACAUCUCCAAAGUUCUGCUGGGCCAGCUCAGCUUCCCCUCAGAAGAAGUGCCGCCACCUGCCAGAUGAAGGAGCCUUUUGAGAGGCAGCUGGCAUCGUGAUUGGACUGUACUUUGGUCUGUUCCAAUCCAGCUUCAGCUCCAGAGACGGCAGGCGGGACGAGUCAACGGAGGCCGGAUGGACGAAGACUAAAGAACUACAGACUCUUCACAACCUGCUCAAACUCUUGGUACAGGACCUCACCACACGGGUCAAGAAGGUUUCUGUCUCAUUUCUACUCUGAAGCUCACCUUCUCCUGCUCAAACUGCUGACAAAUGUUUCUGCUGCUCUAAAGUCUGGUCUCCAGAACUUCCUAAAAACUCUCAAAGUCUCUUCUGCUGCAGGUUGCUUUGUAGAACUGUUCCAGAAAACCUCACUAAACCACACGGAGGGGC
This is a long non-coding RNA of Amphiprion ocellaris (clown anemonefish), 949 nucleotides long. Lineage: Eukaryota; Metazoa; Chordata; Actinopteri; Pomacentridae. The record is from Ensembl.